UAUGGAAAGACUUCACCACUCU
Molecule: microRNA, 22 nt
Filed under: Callithrix jacchus (white-tufted-ear marmoset)
Lineage: Eukaryota; Metazoa; Chordata; Mammalia; Primates; Cebidae
Description: cja-miR-3688
Source: miRBase by way of RNAcentral